RNAcentral lists this transfer RNA (73 nucleotides) under Ipomoea nil (Japanese morning glory). It matches the Rfam family "tRNA". Rfam says of the family: Transfer RNA (tRNA) molecules are approximately 80 nucleotides in length. Lineage: Eukaryota; Viridiplantae; Streptophyta; Magnoliopsida; Solanales; Convolvulaceae. The record is from Rfam by way of RNAcentral.
UUUGUUGUAUUCUAGUUGGUUAGGAUACUCGGCUCUCACCCGUAAGACCCGGGAGCAAUUCCCCGCAACGGAA